RNAcentral lists this ribosomal RNA (303 nucleotides) under uncultured bacterium. RNAcentral describes it as "partial 16S ribosomal RNA". It matches the Rfam family "Bacterial small subunit ribosomal RNA", at positions 507 to 809 of the family's 1533-position model. The record is from RNAcentral.
AGCAGCCGCCGCGGUAAUACGUAGGUGGCGAGCGUUGUCCGGAAUCAUUGGGCGUAAAGGGAGCGCAGGCGGGCAUGUAAGUCUUUCUUAAAAGUGCGGGGCUCAACCCCGUGAUGGGAAAGAAACUAUGUGUCUUGAGUACAGGAGAGGAAAGCGGAAUUCCCAGUGUAGCGGUGAAAUGCGUAGAUAUUGGGAGGAACACCAGUGGCGAAGGCGGCUUUCUGGACUGCAACUGACGCUGAGGCUCGAAAGCCAGGGGAGCGAACGGGAUUAGAUACCCCUGUAGUCCCUGUCUCUUAUACA